Molecule: ribosomal RNA, 776 nt
Filed under: uncultured Neocallimastigales
Lineage: Eukaryota; Fungi; Neocallimastigomycota; Neocallimastigomycetes; Neocallimastigales
Description: partial large subunit ribosomal RNA
Rfam family: Eukaryotic large subunit ribosomal RNA
Source: RNAcentral
UAUCUCUGUAGAGUCUGCAUAUCAAUAAGCGGAGGAAAAGAAACUAACUAGGAUUCCCUCAGUAACGGCGAGUGAAGCGGGAAGAGCUCAAAUUUGAAAUCUUCAAGGUUCUACCUUGACGAAUUGUAGUUUAAAGAAGUGUUUUCUGUUGGUGUUUUGGUAAAAGUUCUUUGGAAUAGGACAUCAUAGAGGGUGAGAAUCCCGUAUUUGACCAUUACUUUCCAGCGUUGUGAUACACUUUCAAAGAGUCGGAUUGUUUGGGGAUGCAGUCCAAAAUGGGUGGUAAAUUUCAUCUAAAGCUAAAUACUGGCGAGAGACCGAUAGCGAACAAGUACCGUGAGGGAAGGAUGAAAAGAACUUUGAAAAGAGAGUUAAACAGUACGUGAAAUUGUCAAAAGGGAAGCGUUUGACACCAGUGUUGUUUUCUCGAAAAUCAAUUAAAAAUGGUAGGAUUUUGUGUUGUAUUGACUUUAUCAGCUUUCUGCACUUUUUUCCUGUCUUUUUUAAUGCACUUUUCGUUUAACAAGUCAACAUCAAUUUCUUUUGUUGUAAAAGGGUCAUUGGAAGGUGGCUUUCUUUUCGGAGAAAGUGUUUAUAGCCUUUGACUUCUGCAAUCGGAGAGAUUGAGGUCUGCAGCGUAGAUCCCUUCGGGGUUAGAUGCAUUUGUGCUAAGUUAUAGCCUUUCAUAGACAACUUGUUGACUAUGAUCAGUCAUGUAGCUUACUCGCUUAUGUCAUUUUACCUACGCUUAGGAUGUUGAUCUCUCACAGUCGAGC